UUGACCGUGCCAAAGGUAGCAUAAUCAAUUGUCUUUUAAUUGAAGGCUUGUAUGAAUGGUUGAAUGAGAUAUAAACUAUUUUUAUUUUAUAAAAAAUGAAUUUUAAUUUUUAGUAAAAAUGCUAAAUUAAUAAAAUAAGACGAGAAGACCCUAUAAAUCUUGAUUUAUAAAAAAAAAUUUAUUUUUAUGAAAAAUAAAAUUAUUUUUUUAAAAAAAUUUUAUUGGGGCGAUAAUGAAAUUUAAUAAACUUUUAUUUUUUUUUAAUUAAUAUAAUAAAUUUAUUGAUCCAUUAUUAAUGAUUAAAAAAUUAAGUUACUUUAGGGAUAACAGCGUAAUUAUUUUAAAGAGUUCUUAUCGAUAAAAUAGAUUGCGACUCUCGAUGUUGAAUUAUAGAGUAAUCGUACCGUGUCAGAAGUUAGCAUUGU
This 425-nucleotide ribosomal RNA is filed under the name Culicoides kibatiensis. RNAcentral describes it as "partial 16S ribosomal RNA". The record is from RNAcentral. Lineage: Eukaryota; Metazoa; Arthropoda; Insecta; Diptera; Ceratopogonidae.